AUUGAACGCUGGCGGAAUGCUUUACACAUGCAAGUCGAACGGUAGAGGGGGCAACCCCUCGAGAGUGGCGAACGGGUGAGUAAUAUAUCGGAACGUGCCCAGUCGUGGGGGAUAACGUAGCGAAAGUUACGCUAAUACCGCAUACGAUCUAAGGAUGAAAGCGGGGGAUCGCAAGACCUCGCGCGAUUGGAGCGGCCGAUAUCAGAUUAGGUAGUUGGUGGGGUAAAGGCUCACCAAGCCAACGAUCGGUAGCUGGUCUGAGAGGACGACCAGCCACACUGGGACUGAGACACGGCCCAGACUCCUACGGGAGGCAGCAGUGGGGAAUUUUGGACAAUGGGCGAAAGCCUGAUCCAGCAAUGCCGCGUGCAGGAAGAAGGCCCUCGGGUUGUAAACUGCUUUUGUACGGAACGAAAAGGUUUCCAUUAAUACUGGGAGCUCAUGACGGUACCGUAAGAAUAAGCAUCGGCUAACUACGUGCCAGCCGCCGCCGUAA
Molecule: ribosomal RNA, 496 nt
Filed under: uncultured bacterium
Lineage: Bacteria
Description: partial 16S ribosomal RNA
Rfam family: Bacterial small subunit ribosomal RNA
Source: RNAcentral